UUCAAAGAGCAUCCUAAGUUGGUGAAAAAUGAGUUUUGACAUUACUGGAGAAUCUUAUGCUGGGAACUAAAUCCCUACAUUGGCUUCCCGGGUUCACAAAGGAAACAAAAACAAAGAAGGAAUUCAUAUAAACCUCAAGGGUUUUUCCAUUGGCAAUGGUCUCACUCUGCCUGAUAUUCAGUUCAAAGCAUACACUGAUUUUGCUUUGGAAAACAAGUUAAUCCAAGAAUCUGACUAUGAUUCCAUUAACGAGUUGAUCCCAGUCUGUGAACAGGCAAUUAAAGAUUGCGGUACUUGUUCUUAGUUUGGAAUUCCUGCUCUCCUUGAAGUUGGUAUCAGUUUGCUUAAUUAUGCUGGAGAGGAGGAUCUCACAUGCAACUGCCUUGGAAAUUCAAGGUGGGUAAAUGCAUUGGCAUGGUCUAGGAAGAAGAAAGCCUUCGGAGAAGCUCCCACAGUUCCAUUCGUUGAUGAAGGAAAAAUGCAGGACAGCUAAAAAGUCUUGGUUUCCUAAAGGUUCACAAUGCUAGUCACUUUGUUCCAAUGUAUCAGCCAAAAGCUGCAUUAACAAUGCUGAAGACCUGGUUGCAAGGAAAUCUGUCUCUCCGUGGUAACUUGCGUCUGCUGUUUUAGCAUGUUCAAGCAUUGUCUCACAUCUAUGGUUGUCCGAAAUGGCGUUUUGUGAACUUCUGGUAUGAUGGAUUCUUCUAAUCUAAAUAUUCAUGCUAUCAGGUCUUAGGAGCUACAAAAUAAAAGGCACCUACAUUU
This is a long non-coding RNA of Populus euphratica (Euphrates poplar), 765 nucleotides long. RefSeq lists it as uncharacterized. Lineage: Eukaryota; Viridiplantae; Streptophyta; Magnoliopsida; Malpighiales; Salicaceae. The transcript is spliced from 5 exons. The record is from RefSeq and is a predicted model, not a curated record.